UUUUCAAAUUGGACCUGAUAUCA
RNAcentral lists this unclassified non-coding RNA (23 nucleotides) under Pythium insidiosum. RNAcentral describes it as "partial large subunit ribosomal RNA". Lineage: Eukaryota; Oomycota; Peronosporomycetes; Pythiales; Pythiaceae. The record is from RNAcentral.